UGAGGAAUAUUGGUCAAUGGACGAGAGUCUGAACCAGCCAAGUAGCGUGCAGGAUGACGGCCCUAUGGGUUGUAAACUGCUUUUGUUUGGGAAUAAUCGACAUUACGUGUAAUGUUUUGCAUGUACCAUUCGAAUAAGGACCGGCUAACUACGUGCCAGCAGCCGCGGUAAUACGUAGGGCGCAAGCGUUAUCCGGAAUUAUUGGGCGUAAAGAGCUUGUCGGCGGUUCGUCGCGUCUGGUGUGAAAGCCCAUCGCUUAACGGUGGGUUUGCGCCGAGUACGGGCGGGCUAGAGUACAGUAGGGGAGACUGGAAUUCCCGGUGUAACGGUGGAAUGUGUAGAUAUCGGGAAGAACACCAAUGGCGAAGGCAGGUCUCUGGGCUGUUACUGACGCUGAGAAGCGAAAGCGUGGGGAGCGAACAGG
RNAcentral lists this ribosomal RNA (424 nucleotides) under Verrucomicrobiota bacterium. Its description in RNAcentral is "Verrucomicrobia bacterium partial 16S ribosomal RNA". It matches the Rfam family "Bacterial small subunit ribosomal RNA", at positions 355 to 776 of the family's 1533-position model. Lineage: Bacteria; Pseudomonadati; Verrucomicrobiota. The record is from RNAcentral.